This 152-nucleotide non-coding RNA is filed under the name Devosia sp. RNAcentral describes it as "FMN sequence". It matches the Rfam family "FMN riboswitch aptamer (RFN element)". From Rfam's summary of the family: The RFN element is a highly conserved domain that is found frequently in the 5'-untranslated regions of prokaryotic mRNAs that encode for flavin mononucleotide (FMN) biosynthesis and transport proteins. This element is a metabolite-dependent riboswitch that directly binds FMN in the absence of proteins. In Bacillus subtilis, the riboswitch most likely controls gene expression by causing premature transcription termination within the 5' untranslated region of the ribDEAHT operon and precluding access to the ribosome-binding site of ypaA mRNA. The record is from RNAcentral. Lineage: Bacteria; Pseudomonadati; Pseudomonadota; Alphaproteobacteria; Hyphomicrobiales; Devosiaceae.
AGACGUUCUCAGGGCGGGGUGCAAUUCCCCACCGGCGGUGUUUGCAUCCCACAGAUGCAUCAGCCCGCGAGCGCCCUCCCCAAAAGGGAGGGGUCAGCAGACUCGGUUCAACUCCGAGGCCGACGGUAUAGUCCGGAUGGAAGAGAACACAU